Molecule: ribosomal RNA, 790 nt
Filed under: uncultured bacterium
Lineage: Bacteria
Description: bacterial SSU rRNA
Rfam family: Bacterial small subunit ribosomal RNA
Source: RNAcentral
AGAGUUUGAUCAUGGCUCAGAUUGAACGCUGGCGGCAUGCCUUACACAUGCAAGUCGAACGCGAAAGGGGGUAACCCCGAGUAGAGUGGCGAACGGGUGAGCAAUACAUCGGAACGCGUCCUGUAGCGGGGGACAACCUCGAGAAAUCGAGGCUAAUACCGCAUACGAUCCACGGAUGAAAGUGGGGGACCGCAAGGCCCCACACUAUAGGAGCGGCCGAUGCCGGAUUAGCUUGUUGGCGGGGUAACGGCCCACCAAGGCGACGAUCCGUAGCUGGUUUGAGAGAACGACCAGCCACACUGGGACUGAGACACGGCCCAGACUCCUACGGGAGGCAGCAGUGGGGAAUUUUGGACAAUGGGCGAAAGCCUGAUCCAGCCAUGCCGCGUGAGUGAAGAAGGCCUUCGGGUUGUAAAGCUCUUUCGGCGGGGACGAAAUGGCGCGGGGUAACAUCCCGCGUCGAUGACGGUACCCGAAGAAGAAGGACCGGCUAACUACGUGCCAGCAGCCGCGGUAAUACGUAGGGUCCAAGCGUUAAUCGGAAUUACUGGGCGUAAAGCGUGCGUAGGCGGUCUCGCAAGUCCGAUGUGAAAUCCCCGGGCUUAACCUGGGAACUGCGUUGGAAACUAUGAGGCUAGAGUGCGGCAGAGGGGGGUGGAAUUCCAGGUGUAGCAGUGAAAUGCGUAGAGAUCUGGAGGAACACCGAUGGCGAAGGCAGCCCCCUGGGCUAGCACUGACGCUCAUACACGAAAGCGUGGGGAGCAAACAGGAUUAGAUACCCUAGUAGUCC